UUUCAAAAUCCCAUGCACUUU
RNAcentral lists this non-coding RNA (21 nucleotides) under Caenorhabditis elegans. Lineage: Eukaryota; Metazoa; Nematoda; Chromadorea; Rhabditida; Rhabditidae. The record is from RNAcentral.